AGUGAACGCUGGCGGUAGGCCUAACACAUGCAAGUCGAACGGCAGCACAGUAAGAGCUUGCUCUUACGGGUGGCGAGUGGCGGACGGGUGAGGAAUACAUCGGAAUCUACUUUUUCGUGGGGGAUAACGUAGGGAAACUUACGCUAAUACCGCAUACGACCUACGGGUGAAAGCAGGGGAUCUUCGGACCUUGCGCGAUCGAAUGAGCCGAUGUCGGAUUAGCUAGUUGGCGGGGUAAAGGCCCACCAAGGCGACGAUCCGUAGCUGGUCUGAGAGGAUGAUCAGCCACACUGGAACUGAGACACGGUCCAGACUCCUACGGGAGGCAGCAGUGGGGAAUAUUGGACAAUGGGCGCAAGCCUGAUCCAGCCAUACCGCGUGGGUGAAGAAGGCCUUCGGGUUGUAAAGCCCUUUUGUUGGGAGAGAAAAGCAGCAGGUUAAUACCCCGCUGUUCUGACGGUACCCAAAGAAUAAGCACCGGCUAACUUCGUG
Molecule: ribosomal RNA, 492 nt
Filed under: uncultured bacterium
Lineage: Bacteria
Description: partial 16S ribosomal RNA
Rfam family: Bacterial small subunit ribosomal RNA
Source: RNAcentral